CGGAGGAAAAGAAACCAACCGGGAUUGCCUUAGUAACGGCGAGUGAAGCGGCAAAAGCUCAAAUUUGAAAUCUGGUACCUUCGGUGCCCGAGUUGUAAUUUGGAGAGGGCAACUUUGGGGCCGUUCCUUGUCUAUGUUCCUUGGAACAGGACGUCAUAGAGGGUGAGAAUCCCGUGUGGCGAGGAGUGCGGUUCUUUGUAAAGUGCCUUCGAAGAGUCGAGUUGUUUGGGAAUGCAGCUCUAAGUGGGUGGUAAAUUCCAUCUAAAGCUAAAUAUUGGCGAGAGACCGAUAGCGAACAAGUACAGUGAUGGAAAGAUGAAAAGAACUUUGAAAAGAGAGUGAAAAAGUACGUGAAAUUGUUGAAAGGGAAGGGCAUUUGAUCAGACAUGGUGUUUUGUGCCCUCUGCUCCUUGUGGGUAGGGGAAUCUCGCAUUUCACUGGGCCAGCAUCAGUUUUGGUGGCAGGAUAAAUCCAUAGGAAUGUAGCUUGCCUCGGUAAGUAUUAUAGCCUGUGGGAAUACUGCCAGCUGGGACUGAGGACUGCGA
RNAcentral lists this ribosomal RNA (545 nucleotides) under Saccharomyces cerevisiae (brewer's yeast). RNAcentral describes it as "eukaryotic LSU rRNA". It matches the Rfam family "Eukaryotic large subunit ribosomal RNA", at positions 51 to 599 of the family's 3401-position model. The record is from RNAcentral. Lineage: Eukaryota; Fungi; Ascomycota; Saccharomycetes; Saccharomycetales; Saccharomycetaceae.